This 433-nucleotide ribosomal RNA is filed under the name uncultured bacterium. Its description in RNAcentral is "partial 16S ribosomal RNA". It matches the Rfam family "Bacterial small subunit ribosomal RNA", at positions 29 to 507 of the family's 1533-position model. The record is from RNAcentral.
AACGAACGCUGGCGGCAGGCCUAACACAUGCAAGUCGAGCGAGGACUUCGGUCAUCGCGGCGGAUGGGUGAGUAACGCGUGAGAACGUGCCAUUUGCUUCGGAAUAGCCCGGGGAAAGGGGGAGUAAUCCCGGAUGAGCCCUUUGGGGGAAAGAUUUAUCGGCGACGGAUCGGGCCGCGUUGGAUUCGGUAGUUGGUCGGGUAAUGGCCUACCAAGCCGACGAUACAUAGCCGGUAUGAGAGGAUGAUCAGCCACACUGGGACUGGGACACGGCCCAGACUCCUGCGGGAGGGAGGAGUGGGUAAUGUUAGACAAUGGGGGGUACCCUGAUCGAGCCAUGGCUGGAGAGCAAUGAAGGCGUGAGGGAAGUAAAGCUCGUUCAGCUGGGAAGAUAUUGACGGUACCAGCAGAAGAAGCCCCGGCUAACUCCGUG